GACGAACGCUGGCGGCGUGCUUAACACAUGCAAGUCGAACGGAAAGGCCCUGCUUUUGUGGGGUGCUCGAGUGGCGAACGGGUGAGUAACACGUGAGUAACCUGCCCUUGACUUUGGGAUAACUUCAGGAAACUGGGGCUAAUAUCGGAUAGGAGCUCCUGCUGCAUGGUGGUGGUUGGAAAGAUUCGGCGGUUGGGUAUGGACUCGCGGCUUAUCAGCUUGUUGGUGAGGUAGUGGCUUACCAAGGCUUUGACGGGUAGCCGGCCUGAGAGGGUGACCGGCGACAUUGGGACUGAGAGAGGGCCCAGACUCCUACGGGAGGCAGCAGUGGGGAAUAUUGCGCAAUGGGCGGAAGUCUGAUGCAGCAACGCCGCGUGCGGGAUGACGGCCUUCGGGUUGUAAACCGCUUUCGCCUGUGCCGAAGCGUGAGUGACGGUAAUGGGUAAAGAAGCACCGGCUAACUACGUG
Molecule: ribosomal RNA, 468 nt
Filed under: uncultured bacterium
Lineage: Bacteria
Description: partial 16S ribosomal RNA
Rfam family: Bacterial small subunit ribosomal RNA
Source: RNAcentral